CGGGAGGGCGUGGGGAGGCAGGCCGGGCGCGCACGCUGCCGGGCUGUAUCAUCACCCCCGCUGCCGCCGGGACGGGAAGUGAGCCGCCCGGGCCCACAGUGCCAGCUAGCCGCCGAGAGGGUCCUGCAGCCGCCCGCACCCGGGGCGAAGCAUGGCUGCCGCCAAGGUGGUUUUAACCAAGAGAGCAGAUCCAGCUGAGCUUAGAACAAUAUUUUUGAAGUAUGCAAGCAUUGAAAAAAAUGGUGAGUUUUUCAUGUCUCCCAAUGACUUCGUCACUCGAUAUUUGAACAUUUUUGGAGAAAGCCAGCCUAAUCCAAAGACUGUGGAGCUUUUAAGUGGUGUAGUGGAUCAGACCAAAGAUGGAUUAAUAUCCUUUCAAGAGUUCGUAGCAUUUGAAUCUGUCCUGUGUGCCCCGGAUGCUUUGUUCAUGGUGGCCUUUCAACUGUUUGACAAAGCUGGCAAAGGAGAAGUUACUUUUGAGGACGUUAAGCAAGUUUUUGGACAGACCACAAUUCAUCAACAUAUUCCGUUUAACUGGGAUUCAGAAUUUGUGCAACUACAUUUUGGAAAAGAAAGAAAAAGACACCUGACAUAUGCAGAAUUCACUCAGUUUUUACUGGAAAUACAGUUGGAGCAUGCAAAGCAGGCCUUUGUGCAAAGGGACAACGCCAGGACUGGAAAAGUUACAGCCAUUGACUUCCGAGACAUCAUGGUCACCAUCCGCCCCCAUGUCUUGACGCCUUUUGUAGAAGAAUGUCUAGUAGCUGCUGCUGGAGGUACUACGUCCCAUCAAGUUAGUUUCUCCUAUUUUAAUGGAUUUAAUUCACUCCUUAACAACAUGGAGCUCAUUAGAAAGAUCUACAGCACUCUGGCUGGCAACAGGAAAGAUGUAGAGGUGACUAAGGAGGAGUUUGUUCUGGCGGCUCAGAAAUUUGGUCAGGUUACACCCAUGGAAGUUGACAUCUUGUUUCAGUUAGCAGAUUUAUAUGAGCCACGGGGACGUAUGACCUUAGCAGACAUCGAACGAAUUGCUCCGCUGGAAGAGGGAACUCUGCCCUUCAACUUGGCUGAGGCCCAGAGGCAGACAGAAAAAUGCAAUAAUCUGAGAUGUUCUGGCAUCAAAGACACGAAGGCCUCAGUGGACUCCUCCCGACCGGUUCUCCUGCAGGUUGCGGAGUCAGCCUACAGGUUUGGGCUGGGUUCCAUUGCUGGAGCUGUUGGAGCCACUGCCGUGUAUCCUAUCGAUCUUGUAAAAACUCGAAUGCAGAACCAACGAUCAACUGGCUCUUUUGUGGGAGAACUUAUGUAUAAGAACAGCUUUGACUGUUUUAAGAAAGUGCUGCGCUACGAAGGCUUCUUUGGACUGUACAGAGGUCUGUUGCCACAGUUAUUGGGAGUUGCCCCAGAGAAGGCCAUAAAACUUACAGUGAAUGAUUUUGUGAGGGAUAAAUUUAUGCGCAAAGAUGGUUCGGUCCCACUUGCAGCAGAAAUUCUUGCGGGCGGCUGUGCAGGAGGCUCCCAGGUGAUUUUCACAAAUCCUUUGGAAAUCGUCAAGAUCCGUUUGCAAGUGGCUGGAGAGAUCACCACCGGUCCCCGAGUCAGUGCCUUGUCUGUCGUAAGGGACCUGGGGUUCUUUGGGAUCUACAAGGGUGCCAAAGCAUGCUUUCUGCGGGACAUUCCUUUCUCGGCCAUCUACUUCCCAUGCUAUGCUCAUGUGAAGGCUUCCUUUGCAAACGAAGAUGGGCAGGUUAGUCCCGGAAGCCUGCUCUUGGCUGGCGCCAUAGCUGGUAUGCCCGCAGCAUCCUUAGUGACCCCUGCUGAUGUUAUCAAGACGCGAUUACAGGUGGCCGCCCGGGCUGGCCAAACCACUUACAGCGGAGUGAUGGACUGCUUCAGGAAAAUACUGCGGGAAGAAGGCCCAAAAGCUCUGUGGAAAGGAGCUGGUGCUCGUGUGUUUCGGUCCUCCCCCCAGUUUGGUGUAACUUUGCUGACGUAUGAAUUGCUACAGCGAUGGUUCUAUGUUGACUUCGGAGGCAUGAAACCCAUGGGAUCAGAGCCAGUUCCUAAGUCCAGGAUCAUACUGCCUGCUCCCAAUCCUGAUCACGUCGGAGGCUACAAACUGGCAGUUGCAACAUUUGCAGGGAUUGAAAACAAAUUUGGACUUUACCUACCUCUGUUCAAGCCGCCGGCAUCUCCCUCAGCCGUGACCAGCGCAGGCCCGUAGGAAGAACACCGCUGGGGUGGAGAGCGCCUUGUCUCCCAUGGAAACAGUGUUCCUCCUUUCACUUCCAUCUCUUGUUUAAAUUCAAGUCGAGGCUUUUUAUAAGGGUGCUUUUAUCCCUGUUGGCAUGGCUAUAUCCUCCUGGCCCUUCAAGGUCAUGUGUACCCUGAUUUUCAGUGUGCCGACAUUCAAAGUGAGUAAAAGAAAUGACGUUUAACCCUAGAUGAGCGAGGAACCCAGCGCACGGACACUUUUCCUCUAGUCAUCCCCCGUGCUUCAGGCAGUUUCUUACUGUGAGAAUUCAUACAGAUUUUCAUUUUAUAAUAUGAAGUUUCUCUGGAAGGUGGGCAUGAAAACUGGUCUGAAAUGACGAUUGUGUUUUCUAAUCCUCUCUGAUUCUUCCUUAUAUGAAAACCAGAGGUCACUGUAUCUGACAUUUGGUGGUAUUUGGCCAACACUAUCAUUUGGGGAAGGAAGCUAGUCUUGAACAAAAUUUAGGGGUUUUGACUUCUUAGACUCUGAUGAGGCUGCGGAGAACCUGUGAGCAGUCAGUCUGAAUUUUGUGUCUCCAGAACGUCCCUCCAGGAGAGACAGCCACUUUGCAGUCCGGUCUGACUUUUAGGUCAACAGGUUGACAUUCAAAGUGACUGUUCAAAACUGGGGAGCAUCAAAACAAAAUCAGGGAGCUUCAGUACCAUCCAUGAGUCUGAUUUUUUUUGGUUCCUAAGUGAACAGAAGCUUUGUUAGUUUCACCAGAAACAGGACAAAGACGGAUGUGGCUCCCUUCAUGGUUUUGGUUUUGCAUAACCAAAGCGAAAACCACUCCCUCUGUGUACGCAUCCUCACCCCCCAGUCCCUGCUUAGCGUGAUACGUGAUGAAUAUUUACAUUGUGCUCUCAGAGACCAGUCACAAAGCUCCAAAUGGGUCUUAGCAAUGUGGGUGGUGUUGCAAUAACAAAUCGCUCAAGCUUUGGGAUUUUGAAUGUGGGCAGAAGUCCCUCAGUGUCAGUCUCUGCAUUCCUUUUUCUUCACUUGCUGGACUUUUAUAGGAGAUCAGAUUUUCAUGGUAACAACAGUGACCCAAAUCUCAGAAAAGGUGCAUUGCCCUGCCUGCCUCUUUAAGAGACAUUGCUCUAUUUACCUGCUGCUGAGGGCGAUUCUCUUCAGUAAAGGAGAAACCAGAGGAACUGGGAAACCAAAGGAGAUAGGCCCACAGGGUGGUGUUUCUUUAAAAUCCUUGGCUUCUUCUAUUCAGGAUAGCCUGUGACUUGAGACACUUUGAAGGAGGCCUAAUUUCUCUCUGAGUUCUGCUCAGUGGGUGGUGUGACUGUGACAUCCUCGAACAGGACUGCAAUCGCCCUGUGGUGAAAACCACGUCAAAUUUGUUCUGGGUUUUCCUUCUUGCUGAAGUGACAGCACAGGACGUCGGCAGGGCCGCGGCUGCUGAUCAUUUCCCUCCUUAACGCUGAGGAACUGGAAGCCUUGUAACCCCCACGCUGCCUGCCCGCCCCGGGGGGCCAGCCUCCCCCUGCUGUCCCGGCCAGGGCCAGCCAAGGAGUCUUCAAGCCUGUCCGCUUAGGGGGUGGGGCAAGAGGCCUGAUUUUUGUAGCAGCUUUCUUUUUUUCAAGGAGGGGAAAAAAUGUGAAGCUGACCACAAAGUGAACACACUGAUUCUUGGGUUCCAGUCGUGGCUGGGUUUCUUGAGGCUGGGUGGCAUGCUGUCGCCGAGCUCAUGCUACACCUCAUAACCCACAACCAUUUGCUGAGCUCCCUGGGGUCGCCUUAAUCCCAGCAGCCAGGGUUGCACAGGGGAAAAUAAGAAUUCUGGCACAGAAAGGAGUCAUUUAAGUGCUUAUUGCAUUUCAAGCUUCAGUUUUUACUUAGCUAAAAUAUUUACCAUUGCUGGAAAACAAUGUUUAAAAUUUUGUGCUUAUAUGUUAUUUAAUGGUGUGGCCUAUGUAAACCUCAGGAUGCUUACAUUUUGACAGUCUUAUGGAAAUGUUUAACAGCACAUAACUCAGUGAGCAGGGAAUAAAAACGGGAAGAAAUUGCGCUUGAAACUGUUGGUAACCCCGUCCGGCUAGGUCUUCAGCAAGUCAUGUUGGAAUUCUUCAGGUAGACAGAGGGAAGUCUCCAGCGAUGGAAUUUGAGUUCUGUCUUGUGGCCCCAUUUAUCAGCCUUGUAGAUGCUUCUAUCAAAGUCAUGAUGUGCCUUCUCACCGCAGAAGCCAUUCUUUUGGGGAUGAAUUUGUAUCUUUGCCACUGGGCAAGAGCCCAUUUUAAAUUCAGGGUAAUCUAAUGCUUUCAGGAUGUGGAUUUUUCCAAGGAUUUUUUUUUUCUCCAAAGAUUUUUUUAAAAGACGCAUUCACUGGUAAGAGCAGUGAAAUGUUCUUUCCACAAAUGGUACUGCCCACAGAGGGGGUGUGCCUUUUGUUUUACCUUUUGGGAAUAAUCCAGCCCUCACCAAGGCGUUCUAUUUUCAAUGUUAGGAAGACCGCAGGGGGUCCACCCCCUUUUCCAAGGCCAGGGCAGCUAAAAGCAUUGCACCUCUGUCUUAAAACCCUAGCAGUCCUUAGUUUGAAAGCCCGGACCAGGCUCUAAUGAGGGUAGGGACUGAGGCUUUUUUUCAGAGUCCCACAGUGCCUGGGACUUAGUAGGCUCUUGGUUAUUAAUUUGAAGGAUGGGUGAAUGGAUUUUCGAGAAAUCUGUAUUUUUUCCCAAUGAGCAAUCUCUAUUAUUUUCCAACUUUACAAGCCUUUUCCGCUGCUGGAGUUAAAACCAUAACUGAAAACAAUCACAGGCUUCUGUAUUGAUCACAUACUUUAGAAGUCAUAAAUAUGUCUUUUAUUAAAGCUACAGCUGUUAAAAUUGGUGUUAAUGACUUACAUUGACCCAGGAACUGUCAUAUAAACAAUAUUUAAAGUUCCUGAUCAUUGUUAAAAGUGAAGCUUUAAAAAAGCAUACCUUUUGAGAUUAGUGCGGCAUUGGGAUUGGGAUAGGUCAUUAAAAUAGUCUUUCUUAUCAAUGAAUAUUAAUUAUUUACAACUCAUUCUCUCUGUUUCUCUCACUGCCCGAUGUUUAUGUGUCUGUAGGAGCACAGUGACAAGCUUUCCUUUAGAAGCUGCUGAGGACAACGGGAACUCUUUCAAAAGGGUUUGUUUUUAGCUAAUGCAUUAAUUGACUCCAAAAAAGAGUCCAAAUGGAACACUCUGCUUUCAUCUGCUGGGGUAACCUAAUAAAAUAAUGUUUGUUUUUAGAUUCCCGGCUGUUAAGGGGGUUUUGCUCAAGGCAAAACCACAGUCCCCUCGAAUAACUUCAGAAGGAAAGUUAAGAAGACACACUAAUUGUGCCUGUCUGAGGCUGGCUUCUCCCGGGUCACAAGCACACCCCCAGCACACGGGUCUGGCCACCGGGACCUUGGUGCCCACCACUACUUUGAUUCCAUUAGCCAGGGCUCCUGCCCCUUUGCAGGACACUUGAUUUGACAGUGGAGCAGUUCUAAGGUGACUUUAAAAUAGACUCAAGUUCUCAGAACAGACUUGUGCAAGCUUAACCAUAGUCUGUCCUGUAUGGUGGGGAGAAGGAAAUACAGCUUAAAGAAAAUACUGUUCUCUAUCUCUUAUCACCUGCCUCCACCUCUUGCUCGGGUCUUGUUGGGCUGCUUUCAAAAGAGGGAGGGGCAAGUCACUCUGCCUCCACCAUGGAGUUCUUUGGCCACUAAGAGCUCAUUAAAUAUGAGGUAUUACAUGCCGGGCAUGAUCUCAUUAAAUCCUCCCCACAGCCCUUAAAGUAGGUACUGUUCUUUUUUCCUAUGUACAAAUGAGGAAACCCAAGACUCGCAGGGGCCCCGUGUCUUGCUCAUGGCCUCUCAACUAGCAAAUGAGGGGGCUAGGAUUUGAAUCUAGGUCUCGUGGCAGUCCAAGCCCUGUUCUUUACCUACAAGGGUUUCUCAACAAAAUUCAGUCCAGGAAAUUCUUAUGACAGUCUUUGCCCAGAAUUUCUUAUUGUCACCAGUUCUCAGAAUCAGAUGUAUCAUUUCUAGCUUAGAGGAAGGGAAGGGUGAUCGCUGAUUAUUUACCACAGUAAGUUUAGUUUUUGCUAAUUCAGAGAAUUCCAGAGCCUGAGGACCAGGUGAAUCCUGACUAGCCUUUUGAUGUUCAUCUUCUUUUGUCUUUGUUUUUUAAGAUUUUAUUCGAGGGAAGAGAGAGAGCACGCGUACUCGCACGCACGCUUGAGCAGAGGGGAGGGGCAGAGGGAGAGAGAAGCAGAUUCCCUGCAGAGCAGGGAGCCCCACUUGGGGCUCGAUCCCAGGACCCUGAGAUCAUGAACUGAAGGCAGACGCUUAACCAACUGAGCCACCCAGUCGCCCCAAGGUUCAUCUUAAACUAUUUUAUGACCUAGUAAAGUCAGUAAAGAGAGGAUUAAGGUAAACUUGAAGCAUUUGCCCCACGAGUUUAAAAUGGAAAGGUAAUGUGGAAAAAGCAGAGAUAAAUUUACAGACUGUUACAGGGCAACGCGAUAUGAUGUGAACUGAGUUGGACCAUCUUAAAAAUCUCUACUAUAAUUAGAAAAUGCCAUUCUUCGGGGCGCCU
Ailuropoda melanoleuca (giant panda) is the source of this 6812-nucleotide RNA transcript. It is a transcript of the gene named solute carrier family 25 member 13, with no coding region annotated. The transcript has 20 exons. The record is from RefSeq and is a predicted model, not a curated record. NCBI's taxonomy places the organism in Eukaryota, Metazoa, Chordata, Mammalia, Carnivora, Ursidae.